GCUUCUAAAGGAUAACAGCUCAUCCAUUGGUCUUAGGAACCAAAAACUCUUGGUGCAAAUCCAAGUA
This 67-nucleotide transfer RNA is filed under the name Sternopygus macrurus. Its description in RNAcentral is "tRNA-Leu". It matches the Rfam family "tRNA". From Rfam's summary of the family: Transfer RNA (tRNA) molecules are approximately 80 nucleotides in length. Their secondary structure includes four short double-helical elements and three loops (D, anti-codon, and T loops). Lineage: Eukaryota; Metazoa; Chordata; Actinopteri; Gymnotiformes; Sternopygidae. The record is from RNAcentral.